RNA transcript from Jaculus jaculus (lesser Egyptian jerboa), 2276 nucleotides. It is a transcript of the gene named MAF bZIP transcription factor, with no coding region annotated. NCBI's taxonomy places the organism in Eukaryota, Metazoa, Chordata, Mammalia, Rodentia, Dipodidae. The record is from RefSeq and is a predicted model, not a curated record. The transcript has 4 exons.
UCUCGGGCCAGCCACCGCCGCGCCAGCUAGAAGCGCCCCAGCCCGGCAAGCUGGCUCACCCGCUGGCCACCCAGCACAGCCCGCUGGCCCCUCUCCUGCAGCCCAUCUGGCGGAGCGGCGGCGGCGGCGGCGGCAGGAGAAUGGCAUCAGAACUGGCAAUGAGCAACUCCGACCUGCCCACCAGUCCCCUGGCCAUGGAAUAUGUUAAUGACUUCGAUCUGAUGAAGUUUGAAGUGAAAAAGGAGCCGGUGGAGACCGACCGCAUCAUCAGCCAGUGCGGCCGUCUCAUCGCCGGGGGCUCGCUGUCCUCCACCCCCAUGAGCACGCCCUGCAGCUCGGUGCCCCCUUCCCCCAGCUUCUCGGCGCCCAGCCCGGGCUCGGGCAGCGAGCAGAAGGCGCACCUGGAAGACUACUACUGGAUGACCGGCUACCCGCAGCAGCUGAACCCCGAGGCGCUGGGCUUCAGCCCCGAGGACGCGGUCGAGGCGCUCAUCAGCAACAGUCACCAGCUCCAGGGCGGCUUCGAUGGCUACGCGCGCGGGGCGCAGCAGCUGGCCGCGGCGGCCGGGGCCGGCGCCGGCGCCUCCCUGGGCGGCAGCGGCGAGGAGAUGGGCCCCGCCGCCGCCGUGGUGUCCGCCGUGAUCGCCGCGGCGGCGGCGCAGAGCGGCGCGGGCCCGCACUACCAUCAUCACCACCACCACGCCGCAGCUCACCACCACCACCCGACGGCCGGUGCGCCCGGAGCCUCGGCAGGCGGCGGCGGCGGCGGAGGCGCGUCCUCCUCGGCGGGCGGCGCGGGCGGCGGGGGCCCGGCCAGCGCCGGGGGCGGCGGCGGAGGCGGCGGCGGAGGUGGCGGCGGCGGGGGUGCGGCGGGGGCGGGGGGCGCCCUGCACCCGCACCACGCGGCGGGAGGCCUGCACUUCGACGACCGCUUCUCCGAUGAGCAGCUGGUGACCAUGUCGGUGCGCGAGCUGAACCGGCAGCUGCGCGGGGUCAGCAAGGAGGAGGUGAUCCGGCUGAAGCAGAAGAGGCGGACCCUGAAAAACCGCGGCUAUGCCCAGUCCUGCCGCUUCAAGAGGGUGCAGCAGAGACACGUCCUGGAGUCCGAGAAGAACCAGCUGCUGCAGCAGGUCGACCACCUCAAGCAGGAGAUCUCCAGGCUGGUGCGAGAGAGGGACGCCUACAAGGAGAAAUACGAGAAGUUGGUGAGCAGCGGCUUCCGAGAAAACGGCUCGAGCAGCGACAACCCGUCCUCUCCCGAGUUUUUCAUAACUGAGCCCACUCGCAAGUUGGAGCCAUCAGUGGGAUACGCCACAUUUUGGAAGCCCCAGCAAUGUACACCCAGUGUGUUCAUAAGAUGAAGUUUAUGUAUCCAAGGGAAUCUUCUACAUCAGUGAUGUGAGAGAUGCAGUUGCCCGAAGUCAAACAGACCUUGAUGUUGAAGGUUGUUGGCGUGGAGAAACUAAGGUGCCGGCUUCCUGCUGCUCAUCUUGGAAUUCUUUUAAAGAGGCAGAAAGGCAUCUUGUGUCUAGUUCUCAGGUUGCAACAGUGGCAAGAAAGCAUCUCUUGGUGCACCAGGCUAAACCCAAGGUAGAAACCAGAAGACACUUUCUCCCAUACAUAACUGCUAUGAUGGGGAAGAAAAAAUUCUGGUGUCUAAUUUUUGCUGACAUGUUUGGUAUAGGCCAGCUUCCAUGGGAACUCAAUAUAGCAAUAAUGCUAAGAAGACAAAACACCUCUCAUCCCCAUCCCUGAAGGAAGAAUUGUCCUGAAGUGAUAAGUGAGUCUGGAUGACUCCCCAGAGCUCCCUGUUUUCCAGGUGGAGCAAGACUUGGAACACAAGAUGUUCCAUCUCCAACAUGUACUCGUUUAUCCAUCCUAUGUUUCAAGAUGUGAGUUACAACAAGAGCCCUGUAGAGGACACCAUCCACAGCCACCUGGCCCUGGCCACCUUGCUCUGUGGAACUUCCAGCUUUCAGCAGAGCUUCAGCCUCAGAGGCAAACCGUCCUUCCACUCAUCUGUGGCAAGAAUGGAUUUUGGCAGCCAGACUUUACUGAAAAACCAACCCUUUUCCUCCUACCCCCAAAUUUGAAAACAUAUUGUCUUCUUUACUGUAGUUCAUUUUGCUUUCCAGGGUGAUUAAUGAAUUAAAGAUGUAGUGUAUUUAUUCUUUUGCCUGAUUACCAUUCUGUAAUAAAUCUCAGCUCUGGAGUCUGUCGAUACCAGAAGGCCAACCUGCCUCCUUAGAAAAUAAAGGUUUAUACAUUAAGCUUAA